Trichonephila inaurata madagascariensis is the source of this 73-nucleotide non-coding RNA. The record is from the annotation of a GenBank genome assembly. NCBI's taxonomy places the organism in Eukaryota, Metazoa, Arthropoda, Arachnida, Araneae, Nephilidae.
GUCCUAGUAGCGCAAUGGAUAGCAUGUUGGACUUCUAAUCCAAAGACCGUGGGUUGAAAUCCCACCUGGGAUG